RNAcentral lists this ribosomal RNA (496 nucleotides) under uncultured bacterium. RNAcentral describes it as "partial 16S ribosomal RNA". It matches the Rfam family "Bacterial small subunit ribosomal RNA", at positions 29 to 507 of the family's 1533-position model. The record is from RNAcentral.
AUGAACGCUGGCGGCGUGCCUAAUACCUGCAAGUCGAGCGAACAGACGAGGAGCUUGCUCCUCUGACGUUAGCGGCGGACGGGUGAGUAACACGUGGAUAACCUACCUAUAAGACUGGGAUAACUUCGGGAAACCGGAGCUAAUACCGGGUAAUAUAUUGAACCGCAUGGUUCAAUAGUGAAAGACGGUUUUGCUGUCACUUAUAGAUGGAUCCGCGCCGCAUUAGCUAGUUGGUAAGGUAACGGCUUACCAAGGCAACGAUGCGUAGCCGACCUGAGAGGGUGAUCGGCCACACUGGAACUGAGACACGGUCCAGACUCCUACGGGAGGCAGCAGUAGGGAAUCUUCCGCAAUGGGCGAAAGCCUGACGGAGCAACGCCGCGUGAGUGAUGAAGGUCUUCGGAUCGUAAAACUCUGUUAUUAGGGAAGAACAAAUGUGUAAGUAACUAUGCACGUCUUGACGGUACCUAAUCAGAAAGCCACGGCUAACUACGUG